Molecule: long non-coding RNA, 1710 nt
Organism: Paramisgurnus dabryanus
Lineage: Eukaryota; Metazoa; Chordata; Actinopteri; Cypriniformes; Cobitidae
Source: RefSeq, a predicted model, not a curated record
GCCGAUCGUCGCGAAAUUCAAAUCUGUGGACUAGGUGUUUGUUUGUUUGCUGAACAGUACGAGGUCAUGUACCAUGUGAUGCUGAAGAGGUUUCUGGGUAAAGAUGAUAGAAAUAUAAUAGUGUAACAGUGAAAGCUAAAACAUCAGACUGAUCCAGACACUGAAGAAAUUGGUGUGACUGCAAUCUGGCCAAAAUGAUACAACUAUAAUGAAGUAAUCUACUGUGAUGAAGCUGCAGAACGACACAGAAACUCUGAGGACAUCAACACAGAAUAUCAAGACUCCCAAAGAGAUGUCUGUCCAGAUGAGGGUGCAUCAACAUUACCUUUGCUGACAAGUAUAUGCUUUAGAAAUGUUUGAAUAAUUCCAGGACAGAGCUGUGCAUUUGAAUCUAGAGCCCUAUUCGACGGGAUUAGUUUUACAGGGGGACCUCUGAGAAAAUCGUGCUUCUCAGCGGUCCUCUGUGGUUUUAAUCCCGUUCGAAUCGGCCAUGUCUGUGUUUUGAUGACCUCCGUAAAAAUUCCAGAGCAAUUUACCUACUGUUUUCCGCCAAACUCAGAGGUCAUCUGAGAAAUUUAAUCCCGUCCGGAUGCAAAUGUCUGUGUUUGCCCGCAAUAUCUUUUGAAAACGCGGUUCUUGUUGUCUUUUGGCCAAAGUAAUCUGCCGUAAGGUCUACAGAGUAUAUAUAUUGUACUUCCUGAGUCCCCCCUGAGUCCCAUUCAUUCAGAUAUGGAUGUUUUUUCCCCAUUCGGCGAAAUAAAAUAAUUAAAUCAGGACGAGCUGAAUAUCAAACACUGUUAAGACUGGCCACUGUAAUAUCGUUAACUUUUGAGGUAAACUCAAACUUAUUUUGUCCAACUCCAGAAUGGAAAUGUUAAAUAAUAAAGAUAAUAAAUUGUUAUUAAUCAUUAUUUCUUCAAAUCGUUGGGUUUAUUAUAAGCAGCCAGUUAUAUAAAACAUGUAGGCUACUUUAGUAUGAUUUGUAAAAGUUAUUUUGAUUUGUUAAAAUUUUUCAAGCAAAAUAUUAAACCUUACAAACAAGCAUAUCUAGAGCACGUGCUCUUCUGCAAUGCCCAAACACAUGAAAAGGACACUCCCAUCUCUAGAAUAGCCUGAGAAUUUUAAUCCCGUUCGAAUCGGUACAUUAAAUCACAGACGUCGUGGGGGACAUGUUGAAACUCAAACGUUGUUUGGAAAACUAAUCCCAUCCGAAAAGUGCUUUGAACUGAUUUCUUAAAGUAAGAUCAAUGUAGUUGUUCAUUUUAUUUAGAUCAUUUACUACAUAACAUUAGCCUAGAAAUCUAGACGCACCCUAGCGGCCGCAAAAUAUAUUUGCUGCCAGGGUUUAGUCUAGGCACUCACAAUACACUUAACAGCUCCAAAAACCAAAAUUUGGUCAGGCCAAUCACAUCGUGUGUAGCGUCUGUGGGGCGGGCUUAACAUGAUGACGACAGAGCUGCAACGGUUCCUACUAGAAUGGAUGCUGCUGCUGGCGAACAGCUUUCUUUUGAAGCGGCUUUGGCCGCGACUCUGGAGGACUUAGACUUAUGUUUUUCUUUGAGAGAAGAGCAAAUAACCCUACUGAAGUCCUUUUUAAGCAAGAAAGAUGUGUUUGGAGUUUUGCCGACUGGUUACGGUAACUACGUCACCUUCUUCGUUGCUCUUAGCGCUAUCCUAUUGCGUGCAGAGGCAUUUUGAGGGACAACCUUA